RNAcentral lists this ribosomal RNA (253 nucleotides) under uncultured bacterium. RNAcentral's name for it is "partial 16S ribosomal RNA". It matches the Rfam family "Bacterial small subunit ribosomal RNA", at positions 524 to 776 of the family's 1533-position model. The record is from RNAcentral.
UACGUAGGGGGCAAGCGUUAUCCGGAUUUACUGGGUGUAAAGGGAGCGUAGGCGGCGAUGCAAGUCAGAAGUGAAAGCCCGGGGCUCAACUCCGGGACUGCUUUUGAAACUGUGUUGCUAGAUUGCAGGAGAGGUAAGUGGAAUUCCUAGUGUAGCGGUGAAAUGCGUAGAUAUUAGGAGGAACACCAGUGGCGAAGGAGGCUUACUGGACUGUAAAUGACGCUGAGGCUCGAAAGCGUGGGGAGCAAACAGG